Long non-coding RNA from Mus musculus (house mouse), 11820 nucleotides. RefSeq annotates it as predicted gene, 46095. The record is from RefSeq and is a predicted model, not a curated record. Lineage: Eukaryota; Metazoa; Chordata; Mammalia; Rodentia; Muridae. The transcript is spliced from 2 exons.
AGAGUUAAUUUAUUUCGUAAAGUUCAGUUGUCAAAGUGCAGACCUCACAUCCUCACACAACAGAAAAGCAGGGCAAUGAAUCACAGACUUGCAUCCUGUCCCAGCCUUACCCUGAGCUUCCUGUAUAAAUGAUGUGACCAAAUUACCCAGCCUUCCUGAGCUCCGUCUUCCAGCUGUCAGGCAAGACGUCUGGACCAUGAAGUCCACAGCAAGUCAUGUCUGUGCACAUCUGUGUUUGGUAGUGCUAGCCCCUUCACCGAGAAAAAGGCUGCUGGUUUGUAUGCACACAGUGCAUAAUCAACUGUGUGUGUGUGUGUGUGUGUGUGUGUGUGUGUGAAGGCCAGCAGAAAACCUCAGUGACCAUUCCUCCUCUAAGUGCAGUGUUUUCAACACAGUGCCUCAGUGUUCUGGGGUUUGCUAAGCUGGCUGGUCACCAAGGCCCUAGGAUCUAAUAGUUAGUGACUCCUUAGAACUUACAGGUAUAUGCCACUGCGUUUAUGUGUGUGUGUGUGUGUGUGUGUGUGUGUGUGUGUGUGUGUGUGUGUAUGUUUGUAUGUACUUGUGUGUGUGUGUGUGGUUUUUUUGUUUUUUGUUUUUUGAGACAAGUUUCCUCUAUGUAACAGCCAUGGCUGUCCUGGAACUCCAUCUAUAGACUAGGCUGGCCUUGAACUCAGAGAUUUGCCUGCCUCUGCCUCCCAAAUGCUGGAUUAAAGGCAAGCACCAACGAUUGCCUCUGUUAUUACUUUUUAAAGUUGAGUUCUGGGGAUCAAACUAGGGCCCUCAUGCUUGUGCAGUAAGAACUUUCCUGACGGAGCUUGCUCCCCAGACUCUACUGUUAAAUUCUGGGGAGAUUCACUAAAGUGAACCAGAGGAGAAACUCCCUUUCCUCCAGUAACAUCAAGCUGUGAGCUUCUUUGUCCUAGGCCUCCUGGAGAGUUGCAGUCAACCAGAGGCACCACAAUGGUAGGUAGAACUUUGGUGGUUUUCCUGACCAGCUCUGCUCCUCCUGGCUACAUAGGCCAGGGAACACUUCUCUAUUACUCACUGCAAACUGGUGUUGACAAGGGAAAGACAACAUGCUCUUCCAGGAACUACAGUUAUCAUCUCUGUCCAUAAUGGCUGGUCAACCACGUCAUAUCAGCUCACCUGAUAACCACCACUUUAUCCAGACCGAGCAGAGGUAGAAGCCUCAGACAAAAAGCAUCGUCUCAAGGCAGAGACAGAACCCUUGUUUAUUGCUUUCAUGUCUAAAGCCCCAAUCAUUAAGGCCAUAGCUUUAACUCCUAAUCUUAUGACCUGAGUAGUUGGUAGUGGUGUUGGUGGUGGUAGUGUGUGUGUGUGUGCGCGCACGCGUGCGUGUAUGUAUGGGGAGGGGCAGUUGAUCCCAGUCUUCCCCUUCUGACCUCAUUAUCUGGGUGAAUUUCAGGCUAUUCAGGUGACUCAUACAGGAUGUAAGCCAGAAUUGACAGUCAUGAGCCAAGGCUUAAGGACUAUGGGGAAUAUGGAGUCCAAUUACUUCUAAGACUGCCACACUACGGACUUAAUACUUCAGGACCUUCCCAGCAUACUCUGGACAAUCCCCAACAUGCCAUUUCUGAUUCGCUUCCUCUCCACAAGAAGUCCUCUCUGUGAGUGCUUUCGUUAACUUCUAGUUUCCUGUCAAGACCCAGCACUCUACUUUCCCUCUGUGCAGCCUCGUGGACAGCAACGCUCCCUCCUUCCCUGGGCACUGGCACCUGCCUGCAUGCCAAUACUGCUGUCUGGACCUCUGCUUGGAAGGCAUUAGAAGGGGAUGGGUGAGCCCUCAGUGGAAAUCUAGUAGCAGAGUAGGGGAAACGUGUGAAAACGAGCCUUGGCCGCUAUAUAGUAGGUCUACUGGAUUGUGCUUGGCCGCUAUAUAAUAGGUCCUACUGGAUUGUGAAGGUUUAGGAAAAGGAAGUAAGGGCACUUUCCAGGCUGUGUGGUGCAUCGAGAAGAGCAGAGCAGAGCAGAGCAGAGCAGAGCAGAGCAGAGCAGAGCAGAGCAGACUCCCUGAGUGCAGAAGUCUUCCAGGAGAGCAGGAGGUGCAACCUGAGCAGCAGGGGUAGGUGAAAAUUCAACAAAAGCUAGCAUUAUUUGCUGUCCACCUACAUCACACCACGGCUUGGCUCUCAUUCUCACCUAAUUAGUUUUAUGGCCUCUUUUGUUCCAUCUCCUCGAAUAUACCCAACUCUAUAUACCCAUCUAUAAAUAUCCAUAUCUCUAUACCCAUCCUAUAUAUCCACACCUAUAUACUUACCCCUCCACUAUAUACUCUAAGAGAAGGACAGCUGGGAUUUUUUUUCUCUUAUAGGGUCCAUAACAGCACUCUCUGCAUGUGACUUUCGCAGGGUGCCACUGAAUAAAACAGUCUGUGACUUAAUUAACAUUGUAUGGGAAAAGAAACCCAAAGUAAUAUGUAUGUAUGUAUAUAUGUAUAUAUGUAUACACUACAUGGAAAAAGUGUUAGCUUUUUCAUCACCGUGGCAAAUACCCAAGAGAAGAGCACCUUAAAAGGUCAGAGGUGUUAUUGUGACUCAUGGUUUCAGUGUGUGUCUGCCUGUCCCUAUUGCUGUGGACCUAUGGGAAGGCAGAGCCAUUGUCAUGAAGAAGGAGCAGAGGAGCUGAAAUGCUCACUUCAUGGAGGCCAAGAUGCACAGAGGUGGAGGGGGGAAGAGAGAGGGAGGGAGGGGAGGGAGAAAGCCUAUCCUGGUGGGCUUCAUUAUUUCUCUUCUUUUAUUUCAAGGGGUCUUUAGCCUACUGGACGUUAACACCCACAUUCAAAGAAGGUUGUGCUCCUUCAGUUAAUUGUGUAUGGACAUGACCUCACAGGCAUGCCUAGAUAUGCCCUUUACUGAUCCUUUAGGCAGAUCUCAAUUGAGUCCGACUGACAGUCAAGAUCAACCAUCAGAUAUGAAUUAAUAACAAUUCUUUGUAUCUGUUACAGGAACCUAAGUAAACCAGGAAUCAAAACAAAACUAAACUACAACCCACUGUCUGAAUCCAACACGUGGUUUACUUUCAUAAGACAAUGCCUGCUCUCAUGAUAUAAGAAAAGGGUGGCCAGUUAGACUAGAGCCACAUGGACAAUAAAGCCUAAAAUGUUAGCUAUUUGGUACUUCCUACAAAAGGCUUCCAGCCUCAAAUCUAAUCUAUGGCCAUUGUUAACUGGUAUGACUAAACAGUAUACAAUGUGAACACAUGCUGUGGCGAGAAUUUUGAUUUUUUUAAAGCCACAAAAAUCUUAUGUGAUUAUGUUUGUGUUUUGACCCCAGGUGUCUGGUGUGGGGCUGUUUUUGUAGCUAAUUAUGAUUUGUCUCAUGCUCUGGCAGGGGUGUGAUUUUGUCAGCUGAAGAUAGUUUCCAUUUGGAAUUCUGGGGAAUUCUGAAUUCUUCAGAGGGUAUAAAAAUGUCAGAGCCCUGAGAGGCUUGACUGCUGCUCCCCCUGCUGUUGCUGGCUAAUGCUGUAGCAGUUUGUCCAGUGGUCUUGGCCAAAGAGAAGAGAAGAAGAAACUGCAUAUCCUGACUCGACUCUCCUCAGCAGCACUAGUGUGUUCUCAAGCAAGCAGGAGAAGUGUGUUAUUACUAAAAAUGCCAUCUCACGGUGUGAGCAGAGCUGAUGACAUCGUUAAGGACUGGAGCUGAUGGGAACACAGUGUUGGACAUGAUAAGGGAAGGGGCCUGUUGUCCUUGCCAUAAUUUCUCCUGUAAAAGCUAUUAACGCCAAUCGGGGACCAAGCUGAUCAGAAGCUCUGGGGCUCAGGGAACUGAAUAAGUGGUCUCAGGUUAGCGGUGCCUGAGCGAGAGAGUGAGGGUUUCUGACAGUUUUGAAUAUUAAUGACACAGGAGAAUAUUUUACAGUUUCUUUCCAAGUUAAACUGUCCCCAAAUGGCCUAUUUUCUGUUCUUGAUGUCUUCCCUGCCCACUUAACCAGCAUGUAUUUUUGGCCAUGGAGUGUGGGAAGGACCUGGUCUGUGAACAGCUUUACCGUGCUCCCUACUACCUUCGGCACCACAGGUACAGUCACUCCCUUUUGAUGUUCUGCAAAGGCGGGAGCUACACAGGAAACAUGCCGUGCUGGCUGGUUUGUUUUAUUCAACACACUGCAGACACGGGACUGGCAACACACCACUACUAAGGAAUUCUACUUGAGGGCUCAUCAAAUGUGAUCUGCAUAGAAAUAAGUGUCUACUGAGAGCCGAGGGGAGACUGCUUGGGAGGUGGACAAGAGGAGCAGCAGAUGGAAAUGAGGAAAGGAUGAUGACAUAUAUGUGGUGUACGGGAAUGGCAAUGGCCCACUGACUCAUGUGCUUGAAUGCCUGGUCACUAGGGAGUGCCACUAUUAGGAGGUCUGGUCUCGGUGAAAUGUGUCACGGGGGGUUGGGGGGGGAUGUGUGACAGGAGGCUUCAGAAACAUAAACCAGGCCCAGUGUCUAUCUGUCUUCUCUCUCUCUUCCUGCUGCUUGCCUGUACAGAUGUGGACUCUCCUCCUCCAGCAGCAUGUCUACCUGCAUUAUGCCAUGUUUCCCACCAUGAGAAUAAUGGACUAAACCCCUGAACCUAUAAACCAGGCUUAAUUCAAUAUUUUCCUUUAUAAGAGUUGCUCUGGUCAUGGUAUCUCCUCACAGCAACAAAACACUAAGGCAACAUACAUAUACAAAAUUGUCAUAAUAAAUCUUGUGUAGUACAUUAACAACAACAACAACUCCUAAAAUGGGAGCCCUGCAAAGGUAGAAGAGCCUUUCCAAGAUCACGGACGAUGCCUGGAAACUCCCUAGCUGCAGAUGCCACCUGCCAAUGCCAGGUGACAGGAUUGAUUCCUUAAACUGGGCCAAUAAGAAAUUAUUCAUUUACUCAAAUAUUUAUCGACUGCCUACCAUAUAAACAAGAUAAAACAGUCACUGUCUCCUGAAGCUUAUAAUCUACUGGGGCAGAUAAAAAGAUAAAUGGAAAGGUACAAAGACAGACACAGAAACCAUAAGUGGCAAGUGUAAGGAAACAGUUUACUUUCCACGGAGGGGCGUGGGGUGCUUCUUCAAGUGUCAUUUAAAGUGACAUUGUAGGAUUUAGAGCUGGCACUCUCAGAGGUAGUAUACUGGAUAGUUUUUUUUUUUUUUUUUUUUUUUUUUGAAAAUGCCUCCAAAAGAUUGGGCUUCAGGCAAGCCUGUAGGGCAUUUUUUAAAUUAGAGAUUGAUGGGGGGGGGGGGUCCAACCCACUGAGGGUGGUGACAUCCCUGGGCUGGUUGUCCUGGGUUCCAUAGGAAAGCAGGCAAGCUGUGAGGACCAAGCUGGUAAUCUCCACCAUGGCUUCUGUGUCAGCUCCUGCCUCCACGCUCCUGUCCAGUGGAAGCUCCUGCCUUGGCUUCCCUCAAUAGACUCUGACUCAUUUUAUAUUAAAACUAUGCCCAGAAAGCUCUCUGUGUUAUAUAAGAAGCACCAUUAAGGUUUUGGCUCAAAUAAUCAUAAGCAGGUUUUUCACCUGUACAAGUCUCUCAACAGAACGUAAGUGUAGGGGGAAUGAUGGUGCGCAUGCAUGCACACUUAUGGGACCAUUCUUGCAGGGGCUGUCCUACAAGCUGUGAGAUAGAUAGUACCUUUGGCCCCAUUACAACAAACAUCAGUGGCUCCCCUACUAAUCAUUAUGACAACUCAAAACAGCCCUGUACAUUUCCAAAACCACUGUUCCGAUGGAAAACACUGGCUUACCACCUGGAAUAUGCUUAUUAAAUGUUUCUUUUAAUUCAUGACCUUUAAUCAUGAGACCUCAAAAAUGUUUCUUUCAAAGCAUUUCUCAUGUGAGUGUACUGUGCCCACAUUCCUAGAAUUCUUGGUAACGCUACAACAUAUUGAACUGAUAUAGAGAAAAACGUCCCCCAUCACUGAAUCACACAUGGGAAUGAGAAUGUCUGAAAGAGGCUAUGAUCACUUCCACACCGUGCUCUGGUAGUGUAAACUUGGCUUGGCAUGAAGAAACGUUCUCCCAUCUGCUCUCACUACAGACAGAAACACUUCUGGAGCCCACAUGACUGAGACUUUUCCCCAUCACCUCCAGAAAGUAAAUGCAAAAUGAAAAAAUGAGUAGGAUUGUUUACAGCCUGAUCUCCGCGUGUGCUACUGUGAUGAAGCCAACAGAUGAUGCUCUCAUGAGCUCAGCCCUUUGAAGGGAUUUUCAGAAUGAGCAAUGACUGGUCCUUUGGUACCUGUGUUUGCUGCAGCUGCAGGAAGAAGCUGACAUCCAUGAAUGGGAGUUCAAGAUGAUGGGGCGACAGAGACAGAUUCAGCAAUGGGGCGGUGGCAAUGAUUUCUGCAUUCCCACAAUACACAUGGUAAGAUGUGUGGGUAAGCAGUCCUUCCCAGGUCCACGUCUUGAUCUGCUGGUUUUCAAUUCUAGCGGCAUGUGUGACUCUCAUGAGGAGGAUUCUAGAAGUUACUUGGACCUUGGUGGUGUUUUGUUUGUACUUUUGGUGUUGUUUUUACCACCCCCCCAGGUGAUUCCAAUGUAUUAAAGAUUGUUAUCUUAACCCCAAAUUCUAAUUCCACUGGAUAGGCAUCAGCUGAUAUAUUAGGCCAGUUAAGAAAAUAUUUUAAGAGUAGCCAAGAUUCUACACUUCAUAAAUUACUGAAUAGAAAUGACAUCUGUUUCUUUUCCUGCUAAGUUGGUUUAUUGAAUGUAUUGUCUUGUUACAUGAGUAGAUAUAACUUGGCAAAUGCCUGUAAGGAAACAUGAGCUUACUUCAAAAGAUUUACAAGUUCUUUGGACUUAGAAGAAUCUAAUAAGAGGCUAGAGAAAUGGCUCUGUGGUUAAGAGAAUUUUUGUUUUUACAGAGGUUUAGCAGGUUCAGUUUAGAGCACUUAGACAACGGCUUACAAGCAGCUGUAACUCUAGUUUCGGGUAUUCAACGUUCUCUUCUGGUCUCGAGGCACUGCAAACAUGUGGUGCACAUAAAAUACUCAGGCAAACAUGCAGAGCAGAUGGAAGGGUUUAUCAGGGCUAAUGGCCAGGAACAUUCAUUCAUAGAGUGAGGGGGGUCAGGAAUAAGGGGCCAUGUAAAAUAAAAAUAAAUACCUGGAACCCUGUUGGGCACCACUGGCAAGUUUAACUAUACAGAGACGAUAGUCAUCCUCUUGUUUUACCAAGUUCAUGGGGUUUCCUUGAAUUGUGGCCAAAAGAAUCCUGGCCAGGAUGAGAAAGAUGGCAUAGGCAACAAAGAACCGUUGAGCCUCACAAAGGAUUCUGCUGCAGCGCAGUGCGUUCAGUUCCUAUGCGGGCUAAGACUCCUGGGAGACUUAGAAAGAGGUGGUACCUCGCGGAAACAAUAAUCAAGGCAUUACUGCUGCUGCGUUCAUCCCACAGUGUGCCCUCUUUGGUGAGAUGCAGUGCAAAGGCUCAUGCGUGGGGUAUAGUAAGGGUCGUUCUGCACGAAUGGGGAGAACACAUGUAAAGGAGUCCGCUGAAACAGUGGAUGCAGAGGUCAGAGCACAGCUCCUCACUUUAGAACCCCACUUCUAAGUAUGGUCUCUUUUCAAGAGCUCUUUAACAGCCACAUGCAGAAUGUUGUUAGCUGAUAAUUUCCAAAGGAUCCCACAACUGAUAUGCUACCAGAAAACCUUUGUACGCUCUGACUGGCCUGGGCUUCACCAUCAGGCAUUCCACCAGCACCCAUAAAAUGACAGCACACAGACGCUAACGUGGCAGCGGGGCAUUUUCUGGGUCACCUCUCAAUAAGCUGCAGUCUGAAGACAAUCACCGUCCCACUUUACAGAUAAGCAACUAAAUUUGGAAUGUUUCUGAGCCCAGCGCCCCUGGCAGUGAGAAGCAAAAACUGGGUGUGGCGCUCAGUUCAGGGACCUAGAAAGGUGAAAACUGACUAGUAAAUCCAUGCCUGGAGGCUAAGGAAAUGCCCUUCGCAGCCUUGGAUGGAUUUGCAGGUUCCUGGGAAACUUUAAUUUGGAUUCAUAGUUUGCACAGAGGAACAAGAAAGCAACCACAGUGAUGACAAUCAGCCACAAAACCGUUCAUGUAGCUCAAGCCUAACGAUAUCAUACACAGGUUUGAACCAGAAAACACUUCCAAAACAUAAUCUAUGCUGCUGAUCUGCAGUGUUCAGCGAAGCAUUUCAAAAACAAAAACAAAAACCAAAAACAAUGCAGGACUUCUUCAACUCCUCUUUGAUAGGGUGUCUUCAAUCACUAUCACUAUUUUCUAUACCUGUUUCUGCCUUUUCUCUGUUAGGUCUUAGCCUAACCUUAGAAACAAUUACAUAAAAACAACAACAACAACAACAACAACAACAAAAACCUAAGAAAUCCAGAUCAAAAGGGUGCUGGGGCCAGUCAUUAAAAUGAGCUCUGAGAAUGCCCUUGAGCUAUGUGUAGCCAGUAAGGAAGAAACCCCCCCAACCUCCCCCCCCCCCCAUUCACCAGCCCAGCAUCUCCCACUGGGUGGCAGUAGCUUAGGGUCCAUGUGACAAAGAGGUGGAGCACUGUGGAGUGUCACUGCACAGUGUGUGCUAAAUAGUCCAUGAUCAGUGAGCUCCAAGCACCUGAUGGCUCUCAUAUGCAGUGUACUCUCAGAGACAGCAGGGUAGAAUUUAUAGAUUUGGGUGUGUUUCUCACAGUUAGUUUCUUAGGGCAAACCCUUAAAGUUAACUGUAGGUACCAAUGCUUCAGGUUUUCAGCACCGUGUUUGAAGACCAGUGCAUUCCGCUUCACUCUACCGACCAAAUUUCUCUGUGGGUUUCAGUCACUUCCCAAGCCCGAGAAACACACAUGAAAUAUUCCAUUAUGAAAGCCACUUAACUCCUCAGAGAUAUGCAGAUCAGAGAGAGGUCCAGUCACUCCCAUUCUUAUCCCCAGAAAACACCCACGCCAGUCACAAGCAGGAAGCUCCAGAGAAAAAAACCGCUUGGCCUUCAGAAAAUCAUAGUGCUUUGCUACGCUCUGCCAGGAGGGAUGUGCGGUAUUAAACUUUCCACCUAAGAGUUUUCACAGGAGGAAAAAAAAAAAAAAGGCUUUCUUUGUCACACCUUAAAAAAAGAAAUGGGACAGGAAGAGCAAGAGAAGGGUGACUAAUGAUCCAAUGAUACAUGUGGCUAGAACUCCCCGUGACUCUUGAGCGCCGCUUUCCCACUGCUGUUCAGCGCUUGAACACAGGAGCGACUUUGAUUAGCUCCUUUCCAGUGGAGUUCUGCCACUAAGGGAGAGCUGGCGAGCACCGAGCAAUCUAUUGCUCACUCCCAAGUCCACUAUCUCCCGUGUCUACUCGGUCGGCACUUCUGAAGCAGCAGCGCUCAGGGGAAGCAGAGGAGAGGCUGCCACCACAGCAGAGCCAUCCUGUCAGACAAAGCAGGCAGGACCUGCUGUCAGGAAGCUAGCUAGCACUCUGUACUGUUCAGUAUCUGUUGGGAUAACUGCACCACAAUUCUUUAAUGGGAAAGCGCGAGCAGCAACAACAAAAGUCCAUUCACACUGGUUACUGGAACCUGAUGGAUGGAAGGCAGAGUCCAUUUUUAAUUCAUGGCACCUUCCUGUUUAUGUAAUACAAAAGAGGACUCCAAGUUUUUAAAGUCAUUUUCAGCUGCCUGCAUAGUGCUGAAUUAUUUAAAACUCAUUUCACACACACACACACACACACACACCUCUGACAGUUUUUAAAAUACUGUUUGACAAGAGCAUUUCAGCAUCUAUAAAAGUGUGUGCUGCGAGAGCAGGUUCUGGGCACACUGUCUUUCAUUAGCAAGUCCGAGUUAUUUUUACCCGUGGUGGAUCACACCUCACAAUGCUGCUUUAGAGAAAUGAGGAAAAGGAAGCCCCUGCCCAGAGUUCAAGUCCCUCAGUAUCUAUUUAUACCACCUUCUAAGUGAGAGUAACUGGUUCAUCAAAGUCCAGAAGGUAGGUAGCCUGGGCAACCCUCCCUGGAAGGGUACAGAGCCAUGAACUCCCAACCGACACCAGGACUGAGUGUUCUCUAAGACCUCACUGAAUAAAACCCAAAACUCUGAAGAAACCUAGGGAUCUGGUUGAAAACAACAAUUUCACCACAUCAGGGAAACGCCAGGGUCUCGAAAAAUUAUAUUCUAGCCUUUGAAUCAUGAAAACUCGGGCUUUUUCUUUACAAGAAAGAAAAAAAAAAAGAGGUUUGAGUAAUAGGUAUCUAAGUGUUUUUAAACAGUGUGAGAUGUCUUAAAGCAGCAAACCGUAUUCUCCCACAAAAAUACAGCCCUAAGAUGACCAGUCUCCUCCCUGUCUAGAGUGACAGCUUGGCCUUCAAAACUAUUUACUGAAGUUUUCUUUCUACUUUCUUUUUAAAAGACUUUUUGUUUUACUGUUUUGCUUGCAUCUCUGAGUAUGUACUAUGUGCAUGUCUGAUGCCUGUGCAGGUUAGAAGGCCAGACUGGAUCCCCUGCAACUGGUGUUACAGAUGGUUGUAAGCCACCAUGUGGGUUCUAGAAACUGAACUUGAGUCCUUGGGAAGGGCAACAAGUGCUUUUAACACUGGACCACCUCUGCAGGCCUCACCCACCUUAUUUUCUUGAUAAAAGUCUGCCACAGGUUUGUCCACUUGAUUAAUCUCUUUCUCUCUCUCUUUCUUUUCUCCUUCCUUCCUUUCCUUCCUUCCUUCCUUCCUUCCUUCCUUCCUUCCUUCCUUCCUUCCUUCCUUCCUUCCUUCUUUUUUUAAGAUAAGGUUUCUCUGUGUAGGUCUGGCUGUCCUAGAACUCACAAGCCCUGCCUGCUUCUGCCUCCUGAAUAAUGGGAUUAAAGGUAUACACCACCACUGCCUGGCAAUGAAUCUUUUCAAAACUGUAAUUCUUCGUUUAUCAAUUCCAUCAUAUUUGGCGCCUGUUUUAUUAAUUUUGUCUUUCCCUGCAUUUGACCAGUUGUAGUCUUCUGUAGCUGUCUCUGUCUGCUGCAAAGGGAAGCUCCUUUGAUGUGUGAUCAGGGCUACACUCACCUGUGGGUGUAAGGAUAAGUUUGGAAUGCAGUCAGCGGUUACGCUGGUCUAAUAAAGUGGUGGUACUACGUUCUCCUCUAAGAUCCAUGACCCUGGUAGCUGGCUAAAUUUCUAGUACUAGGAAUGAUGUUCCUCUUGCUGAGUAGUUAAAUAUAAUUGUACAGUUGUUAGUGCCACUGUUGUACCUCUACUGAUAGCAGGCCAUGCUGGUCACUGUCAUGGUUCAUAGGUGUCAUGGUUGUGUAGGACUCCUGGUUGUUUUCCUUCCAUGGUAGUUUGCAUAGAACUUUCUGGGAUUAUCUAGACCUCAGGGAAGAGACUUUCAGGUCAGAUCUAGCUCAAAAUCUUCCCUGUGUCUAAAGUGUGUGGUGUCUUUAACAAUAGGGGCUACACUUAAACCAAGGGCAAUUGUGAUAGCCUAUAUUGCCUUGAAAGUCUCUUGGAGGAUUCUCACUAGUUGAUUACACAAAACCAAAUGAUCAAUCUUGAAAUCAAAUACACACAAGUAACACUAAAUAAACUCAGCAGGUGAUAUUUAUUACACAUAUUUGUAUAUAAGAAUAACAAAGUAAAGAGGCCAUGAAUUUUAGUGGGAGGGAGCAGAUCUGGAAGGAACUGGAGGGAAGAGACACUGGGAGAGGUUGGAAAAAGGAUAUUUUAACUACAUAUGUGAAAACUUAAAAAAAAAAAGCUUUUCUUAUAAUCAGUCCUAUCUCCUCUCAUUUCUUAUGUUUUUCCCCCUGUUUGAGCUUCUUAUAGGUUUAGUUACUUUCACAAUUUUCCAGCUAUAGAAGAAAAUGUGCUUAUGUACUGUCGUGGCCACAGGUUUAAAUACAAUGGUUUUUCACUAGC